GAUGAACGCUGGCGGCGUGCCUAAUACAUGCAAGUCGAGCGAACAGACGAGGAGCUUGCUUCUCUGACGUUAGCGGCGGACGGGUGAGUAACACGUGGAUAACCUACCUAUAAGACUGGGAUAACUUCGGGAAACCGGAGCUAAUACCGGAUAAUAUAUUGAACCGCAUGGUUCAAUAGUGAAAGACGGUUUUGCUGUCACUUAUAGAUGGAUCCGCGCCGCAUUAGCUAGUUGGUAAGGUAACGGCUUACCAAGGCAACGAUGCAUAGCCGACCUGAGAGGGUGAUCGGCCACACUGGAACUGAGACACGGUCCAGACUCCUACGGGAGGCAGCAGUAGGGAAUCUUCCGCAAUGGGCGAAAGCCUGACGGAGCAACGCCGCGUGAGUGAUGAAGGUCUUCGGAUCGUAAAACUCUGUUAUUAGGGAAGAACAAAUGUGUAAGUAACUAUGCACAUCUUGACGGUACCUAAUCAGAAAGCCACGGCUAACUACGUG
Molecule: ribosomal RNA, 497 nt
Filed under: uncultured bacterium
Lineage: Bacteria
Description: partial 16S ribosomal RNA
Rfam family: Bacterial small subunit ribosomal RNA
Source: RNAcentral